UACGACUACAUAUCAGGCAUAUCAAUAAGCGGAGGAAAAGAAACUAACUAAGGAUUCCCUCAGUAACGGCGAGUGAAGCGGGAAGAGCUCAAAUUUGAAAUCUUCAAGGUUUUACCUUGACGAAUUGUAGUUUAAAGAAGUGUUUUCUGUUGAAGUUUUGGUAAAAGUUCUUUGGAAUAGGACAUCAUAGAGGGUGAGAAUCCCGUAUUUGACCAUUAUUUCCAGCUGUGUGAUACACUUUCAAAGAGUCGGAUUGUUUGGGAAUGCAGUCCAAAAUGGGUGGUAAAUUUCAUCUAAAGCUAAAUAUUGGCGAGAGACCGAUAGCGAACAAGUACCGUGAGGGAAAGAUGAAAAGAACUUUGAAAAGAGAGUUAAACAGUACGUGAAAUUGUCAAAAGGGAAGCGUUUGACACCAGUGUUGUUUUCUCGAAAAUCAAUUAAAAAUAGUUGGAUUUUGUGUUGUAUUGACCUUAACAGCUUGCUUCACUCUUUUCCAGCUUUUUUUAAUGCACCUUUUCGUUUAACAAGUCAACAUCAGUUUCUUUUGUUGUAAAAGGGUCAUUGGAAGGUGGCUUUCUCUUCGGAGAAAGUGUUUAUAGCCUUUGAUCUCUGCAAUCGGAGAGACUGAGGUCUGCAGCGUAGAUCCUUCGGGGUUAGAUACAUUUGUGCUAAGCUACAGCUUUUCAUAGACAACUUGUUGACUAUGUUUAGUCUUGUGACUUACCCGCUUAUGCUAUUUUACCUACGCUUAGGAUGUUGAGCGCAUGUCUCUCUCU
RNAcentral lists this ribosomal RNA (776 nucleotides) under uncultured Neocallimastigales. RNAcentral describes it as "partial large subunit ribosomal RNA". It matches the Rfam family "Eukaryotic large subunit ribosomal RNA", at positions 24 to 616 of the family's 3401-position model. Lineage: Eukaryota; Fungi; Neocallimastigomycota; Neocallimastigomycetes; Neocallimastigales. The record is from RNAcentral.